GUGUUAGUACCAAGGAGUAGAGAUACAAUGAGUGUAUUUGUUUUCAUGUUCCUUAAGAGGGAAUGCACUAGCAAUUGAAGGUAAAAUAGAUACAAAUCAAGUAAACCAUUAUGUUUUCAGUCAUUAUGUCACUUUGAACAACAAUUUGUUUAAUCAUUUUGCGAUAGCUUGUUGCUUGGAACUGUCUUAUUUUUAGUGUUCAGUGUAUUUAUUUAUGGGAGUGUAUACAUAUUCCAGGGUGUUCUAGUUCCUCAGGGAAAAUCUGGAUGGUAUAGAAGAAUUUUGUUCUUUAUUAUGAGUCCAUUUAUAAUUUCAUCUUUUUUUUAAAAAAAGGCGUUUUUCCUACAGUCAGACAUUUUGAGUGUGACUUUUGUUGUGAGAAAAAAAAUUGUGAAGACGUUGUAAAGAUUGGUAAUGAGGAAGGUGACUUGACUGGGUAUCACAGACUUACAAAAUCUUAUAUGUGUUUAGAGUUAUGUUAAUGGCACAUUUAUAAGCAAAGUAAUGUCAUGGAAUAGAAGACCUGUAAGUUGACAUGAGAAACAGAAAGUGUAUUAAAGUUAUCUGCAAUCCUGGGGGUAGAUUGUUAGCCAAAUGAGUAGGAAAUUAGAUUCAUCUCUCAUGGUAUGUAGCAUGAAGAAUUUAAAAUGAAUCAGAGGUUUAAAUUAAAAACUGCAGAAAUUAUACAGUUUCAGAAAGCAAAUGAAUGUCUCUCCAAUUUUGAGGAAAUUACUGAUGAUACACAUUGUAGAAGCAACAAGAAACAAAGAUUGAUAGUAAAAAUGAAAUGACAAAGUUGAAAAAGUUAGUUGUGACAUCACAUAAGAAUACCUUUGGUAUAUGUAAGAUAUAAUAUAAUUGGGGAAAAAUACCAGCUCAAAGGAAAAGUGACUUGAGCACAUAGUUCACUAAAAAAAUACAAAGUGCUAUUAACCAUAUAAAAGGGUUCUUGGAUUUGCUCAUAAUAAGGAUAAUGACAAUUGAAAAUACAGCUAAGAUAUAAUUAGUUUCUCUACUAUCAGAUUAGCAAGAGUCCAAAGUUUGACAACAUUUUUUUUUUGGCAACAUGUUGGGAAUUAUGGAAAAUCAUACGUUGCUGCUAGUGAUAUAAAAUGUAAAACAUAUGGGUAGGAAUUUAAUAUUUUGUAAAUUUAUAUCAUCUGUGGCAAAAAACGUAAUUCAUCUUCUAGUAAUACGUAGCAGUAAGAAUGAUUGAUGGAUGUUUGUAUACCACUAUGUGAUAAUGUCUUGGAUAUAAUGUAGAGACAGGGGAGAUGUAGGCUACAGAAAGUAAAAAUGGUAAUAUGGUGCUUAGGGUGCUUUCAUCAUCAUAAUAGAUAACCAUGUUUGUUAAUGGUGCCCUGGGUAGUAACUGCAAUUGUACUGGGUUUUCAACAGAAUUUUGUCAAAAUGGGAUGCUGCAUGAGCUAAUGAGUUGUGGAAUAAAUAGGUUUUUAUUGUGGAAUAAUAAGUCAAACAAAGAAGGGGGUUUUGCAGUAUCUUAGGAAGAAGAACAGACAUUCCGGAUAAAGUUCCUUUAAUACAAAGAUAGCAUUUUUAAAUACUUGGAGUAGUGAGUGAAGCAGCUUUCUCUACGAGAGCAGGGCAGUUCCCAAAUAAAUCCCAGCCUCCUCUCUUCUGUUAAUUUCUUCGGAAGAACUUGAGGUAGCUUUUGAAGUAUUUGUCGAAGGUUGCAAACUCCUCAGGGGGAGGCCAGGCAUGGUGCCUCACACCUGUAAUCCCAGCACUUUGGGAAGCCGAGGCGGGAGGAUCACCUGAGGUCAGCAGGUCAAGGUGAGCCUGGCCAACAUGGCGAAACCCCAUCUCUAUCAAAAAUAUAAAAUUUAGCUGGGUGUGGUGAUGCGUGCCUGUAAUCCUGGCUACUUGGGAGGCUUGAAGGAGGAGAAUCACUUGAACCCAGAAGGCAGAGGUUGCAGUGAGACAAGAUCAUGCCACUGCACUCCAGCCUGGGUGAUAAAAUAAGACUCCUUCUGAAAAAAAAAAAAAAAAAAAAAAAAAGGAAACCCGAGAUUCUGCUUAACAGUUAUAAAGUCAGAAGGUAUGAAGAUUAUUUGAAGUUAGGCCUGUGGACUGGCUGAUUGGAUCUUCAGUAGUAUGAGAAAGUUUAGUUAAGCCAAGGCACUAUGUAAAACUCCAAGCUGUACGGAGCUCUGCCUGGCCAGCUGGUUGGCACUUGGGUAAUGGGGAAUGAUAAGUGGUUAAUUGCUUCACUGAAUGACUGGAUUAAUGGUAGGAUGAAUGGAUAAAUUAACAGAUGGGAAUGGGUAUAUAAAUGGGUAUAAGAUCAGGAAUAAUAAUGGAAUCACAAGUAGAUGAUGUGCAAAUGGGACUGUAUGUGUGGAUUGAUGGAUGGAUGGAUCUUGAAUGCAUUUUUGAUGAAAUUAAGGAACAAGAAUAAAUAUAUGAAGUAUGGUAUACAUGUAAGCAUGUUUGUGUGUGUGUAUGUGGGUGUAUAGAUUGAUGCAAGAGUGGAAGGGGAGUAAGGAUAAAAGCUUUGGACAGCUAUAUUGACAACGCAAAAUAAACUGAAGGUGGAUGUAUGAAUGUAUGAAUUUGAUGGAUAUGUGCCUGAAAGAAUGUAUGGAUAGGUCAGUUUAGGAAAGGAUCAGUAAUGAUUGUAAUCAUGUAAUUCUCACAGUAACUGUUCAACAGUGACUGUUAAGGAUGCUGCGUGCUCAUGGCAGUAACUCAUGGGCCAACGUCACUAAGACUAAUGCUUCUUACUGCUUUUAUGACAGCAUAAGGUUUUAUUUUUCACUGUGGCUUUGGUAGAGUUAUGGAAAAUCAUCCAUUGUCUCUUAAAUACGUAAUGAUAAAUUGGGUAAAGGAAUUGGGUAAAUCCCAUGACUUACCAAAACUUCAGGAGAUUUAGGAGCUGUAUUUAUGCUUUCUCAAGGAAGGGAUAAAAAGGACACAUUAAACACUGAUAAUGCUUACUGUAGGAUACUUUUGUGGUCUCACAAACUAGGUGUACUUUCUACUUAAAUGAAAACUUUAUCCCCUUCACAGGGGGAACCAACAAAAACCUCAUCCGGGUAAAAAUCCAGCGUCUCAGUGAUGCUAUCUCCCUAUCAUGAGGUAAUUCACAGUAAUCUGUACCUCAUGUCUCAGUGUACCUACUAUUGGCCCAGAGAUAGGUGAAACUUAAAGAUAAUUGUAUCUUGGCUGGGCACAAUGGCUCAUGCCUGUAAUCCCAGCACUUUGGGAGGCCGAGGCUGGUAGAUCAUGAGGUCAGGAGUUCAAGACCAGCCUGGCCAACAUGGUGAAACCCGUCUCUACUAAAAAUACAAAAAACAGCCCGAUGUGGUGUUGUGCGACUGUAAUCCCAGCUACCCAGGAAGCUGAGGCAGGAGAAUUGUUUGAACCAAGGAGGCAGAGGUUACAGUAAGCUGAGAUUGUGUGCCAUUGCACUUCUGCCUGGGCAAUAGAGUGAGACUCCAUCUCAAAAAAAAAAAAAAGAUAAUUGAAUCUCAUUUCCCUUUGUACAAUGUACAAUUAGCAGGGUCAGGGAAACCAUAAUACACCUCCAAACUCUAAGCUGUCAAAUGUGAGAGUAAUCACUUUUCCAUAGAAAUUUUGAAAUCCCUCUGGAAAUACAUUGUGAAGGCUCCCUAUACUGGGCUAGAGAGUGUUUUAUUAGGUCCUGGAAGAUGCUCACUUUUUCCUUGUUUUCCCUGGCUGUAGCUUUUACCUCUGGCACACUUUCCCAAUCCCCUUAUCCUACUUAAUUAUUUUUGAGAUAGGCAUUGUGGAAGAUGUUUGACUGUUCAUAGAGAUGAUUACUUUAAGUCUUAAAACAAUCAGGGGCUUUUCGUUUCUUUGGAAGUAAAAGUGACCCAUUAAAAAUGUAAAAUGUAUCAUGGGCACAGGAAUUUCAUGGCCUAUAUGUGAUUCUACCUUACAUCUUACCCAUAGUGAUUGUAGAACCAUGUGUUGAUGUGUUAUUUCCAAAAGAGGUGAAUGCCCUUGGAACAGUGAUCUAUCAUAUGGAGCAAAGCUUCCUGGAGAGCCAUCAUAACAGACCCACAGGAAUAUUUUCAUUAGUGAGAAGUAAAUGUGUUAAGCCAGUAAGAUUUUGAAGUGGCCACAACUUCAAUUUAUAGCUGAGGUGGUACCAGUUUAAGAAGUGAGAACUUCUUCACUGACUGAUAUUUGCAUAUAAUUCCAAAUCAUUGUGCUUAUUUACUAUUUUUGUAGACGUCAUUCUUCAAAAGUGCUGCAUCUUUCAUAGUCAAGGAGGACAAAGACAUCUUUCCUGCAGUCUCUUCUUCUGUACUCUCAGGUGGUGACCAUGUGGAUAAUGGGAUUAUAGCCAAAUGGUGGUUUCAUCUACAGCAUCACCAAAAUGCUGUUGUUAUUGCUUCUUUCUGGGAUCUUCUUGCAUCUUUGCUUCUCAAGGGGCACAACUUUUAUAGAAGUAUGUCCAGGAAUAGAAGUGACCUGCUUUUUGGCAAGUAAUUGCCUGGAAUGUUUUUAUGUACUUCUCUGCACUCUCAAUACAUUUCAUGCUUCUCUCUAUUUUUGUGUAUUAACUCAUUGUAUUUCUUAAAUUUAUAUUUUACUUUUCGAAUGGAAGUGAGAUUUGUGUAUGGUAAAUAUAAUUAAUUCAACCCCAUGGACACGCUAGUCACUCUCCAGAUUAUGGCAAGUCUUUCUUAGAAGCAGAGGGCCUUGGUGUGCCAGUGAUUUGUUUUUCCCCCAUGUGUAAGAUACUUUUUUUCCUCAUUUGAAUCAGGAGCCCACAGUUUUUGGACAAGUCUCAAAUGAAAUCUUAAGCAUUUGUGUUGUCUGGACUAGACCUUCUGUAGUAUCCUUUUUGUUAGACCUAGUAUAUUUCAUUCCAGAUCAGGAUCUGAGAGUGACUAUAAUUCACCUCUUUCCAAGUACACAAACUUGGAUGACAUGACAACUGAGUGUGUAAGGGAGAGCGAGACCCUUGCACUGCCAUUUUGAGCCAUUGUGAUCUCAUCUUGUAGAACAUGUUGUAUAAUCAUGUUCUUGGUAUCACUAGUGUUCUUUGGGGCUGGAAUAAAAAUCUUAGUGUACCAAAGAGAUUUCCCCUUUAUCUAUGUAACCUUGGUUUUCCUUUAUUUUCUGUUUAACCUAAGUGGGCUUAAUACAAAAUAGUGUUUACUUGGUGUUUUAAUUGUCUACUUCUGUAACAUAAGCUGCACUGUCCACUGGGGAACUGCUUACCGUAUUGCCCAACCUGUCUAGAUAGGUUUAUACAGGGGAGGCAUUCAGUAAUAUUAACUCUCUAGACCAGUGUUAGCAAUAACAAACAAUUGCUGGAAUUUUAAGACUAUAUUAUCAAUCCCUUUGAUGUCAGUUAAUCCUACCAACACAAGAUUUAAUGGUUUAAAAAUCUUAUGAAUGUAUACAGCCAUUAGUGUCUCCUUAUAUUAUUUUGUUCAUUGGCAGCUAGAUUUUGAGGUAGUUUUACCUGGACAGAAGAUGCUCUUGUACUUCCAAAGUUAAUUUAUCUCAUACUAUUUCUUGUGUUAAUAUUUUCCAAGUUGAGGAUGCUGUCUGGAUAUAAGAAGAUGAGUGUCCUAAUCACACACCUUUACAUUAUAUGAAACAUGAUACAGAGUUUUGUAGUCUGUAUAACAAUAUACAGAGGUCAGCAAAAUUUGUAAAAGAACAGACUGCAUAGGCCAUACUGUUGUAACUACUCAACAUUGCCAUUAUAUGUGAAAUCAGCUAUAACCAAUUCAUAAACAAAUGAAUAUGGCCGUGUUCUAGUAAAACUUACUAACAAAAACAUGUUAGUCCAGAUUUGGACCACAGGCUGUAGUUUUCUGACCUCUGGCUUACAGCAGAAGUUUAUUUGGAUACACGGAAAGCAGAAGCGAGAAAAUGUAUUCCAUCCCGUGUCAUUUUUCUGAAUCCUCAACAUGGGAAUUUAAAGUAAAACAUGGGGCAGAAUCUGCUUUAAGCCUUUGAAUUCUUGGCUCUUAAAACCAGGUUGAGGGUUGUGUGUUUUUAUUCUUUUGUAUCUCCUUUUCACUUAGGCUUGGCACCUAGUUCAUUGAAACAGAGCCAACAAGAAUGAGUGAGUCACUCAGUGAUAAGAAGCAACCUGUGGCCAUUUAUCUACUAUCUUCCAUUCCUACUUCCUAGACUUGAUAAGUAGUAUUUGUAGUAUAGUUGUCAGUAACUUUUUGAGCUUAUAUAAGUUUAUGUGGAAUUCAUUUACAAAUGUGUGAUUAUUAUGAUAGAUGUUAUUUUGUAAAUUUCAAGGUUCUUUAAUGUGGCAUGGACAUGUUUCCAAAUCAAUAAAUAUAGCUUACCCACAGACUUUAUGGGAUGUAAAGUAUGUAUUACAAUGGGUGAAUCCAUUUCUCUGUUUUGGGAAAGCAGGUUCAUUUUUUUUUGUUUUGUUGCUACAUAUAAUGUUGACUAUAUGUAUAUUCUAAUGCAGUUGGUCUCCUAAUUCUACAGGAUAGAUGUCUAGCUGUUGCAUUGUUGGAUCAUCAGUUUCGUUUUAGUUAGAUGCUAUGAAAUUGCUCUUGAAAAUGGUGUCUUCUGCCACCACAGAACGGUGUUGUUAUGAAAGUGCCAAUUUUCAUAAAAACUUGUGCACAAUGGGUAUUAAGAAUUUUUUAGGUCGGGCACAGUAGCUCAAGCCUGUAAUCUCAGCACUUUGGGAGGCCUAGGCAGGUGGAUCACCUGAGAACAGGAGUUCCAGACCAGCCUGACCAACGUGGUGAAAUCCCAUCUCUACUAAAUACAAAAACUUAGCUGGGUGUGGUGGCAUACACCUGUAAUCCCAGCUACUUGGGAGGCUGAGACAGGAGAAUCGCUUGAACCCAGGAGGCGGAGGUUGCAGUGAGCUGAGAUUGCACUACUGCACUCCAGCCUGGGUGACAAGAGCGAAACUCCAUCUCAAAAAAAAAAAAAUUUCUUUAAAUUUGUAACCAAUCUAAUAGGUGAAAAUGGCAUUUUUUAACAUAAGUCUAACUUAAACAAUUAAUGGCCAUGGGUAAAAGAAGAAUCAAAUAAUGCAUGGUUUAUCAGAUAAGGCAGUACUCAAUUUUUCCUCUACUCCCCCCAAAAAUCCUGUUUAUCUGAGUUAGAAAUGAUUAAUAUUAGUGCCGCCUGGAAGUUUAUAAACUCCCUAAGUAUACCUCAUACCAGCGUUUUUCUGACUUUCUAUUUUUGAAAUAAUUUUAGAUUCAGAAUCACAAGACUCACAGAGCAACCUGAUUUACGCUUCACCCAGAUUGACUUUUUAUUCUGCAUCGUUGUGUUCUCCCCUCACUUCCUCUUCUUGCUGUCUCCUCCCUUCAUGUGUUUAUACAUAGUGUUACCAUUUUAUGUAUUAUUGGUGAAUGAUUUACCGACAUUAUCUUCCUGUAAACCAAAACACUUCAACAUUUACUUUCCAAGAGCCUGAGCAUGUUAUAUUGACUUUAGUACAAAUUUCAAAAUCAUGAAAUGUGUCAGUAGUAUAAAAGUAUAACAGCAUACAGUCUAUAUUCACAUUUUACCCAUUUUUCCAGAGGUGUUCUUUAUAGCAGUUUCUUCACUUCUACAACAUCCAGAAAAGGAUCUUCAGUUGCAUUCAGUUGUCAUGUCUCUUUAGUCUUGUUUAAUCUAAAACAGUUUCCUGGACUUUGAUCACAUCAGUAUUUUUAAGAAGUAAUAGCUAACAGUUUUUAAGGAGAUACCUCAGAUUUUGAAUUUUUUGUUUCCUCAUGAAAAGGCUUAAGAUACUCAUUUUGAGCAGAAAUACUUCAGUAUUCUCAGUCUUCCUCAGUGAAUCAUAUCAGGUGACAAACAAUGUCACUUUUUCUCACUUUGAACUACUUUGGUCUCUUGGUUCAAUUGGUGUCCACUGAACUUUUCCACUUUAGUUAACAUUCCUUUGUAAUUAAUUUGGAACUAUACAGGUAUUCUGUUUUUCAUCAAACUUUCACCUAGUAGGUUUAACAUACAUAGGUGACUUUUACCUGAGUCAGUGAUGAUUAGAAAAAAGUCUGUGUUGGCCGGGCCUGGUGACUCACACCUGUAAUACCAACACUUUGGGAGGCCGAGGCAGGCAGAUCAUGAGGUCAGGAGAUCGAGACCAUCCUGGCUAACACGGUGAAACCCCGUCUCUACUAAAAAUACAAAAAAUUAGCCGGGUGUGGUGGCGGUGCCUGUAGUCCCAGCUACUCGGAAGGCUGAGGCAGGAGAAUGGCGUGAACCUGGGAGGCGGAGCUUGCAGUGAGCCGAGAUGGUGCCACUGCACUCCAGCCUGGGUGACAGAGCAAGACUCCGUCUCAAAAAGAAAAAAAAAAAGAAAAAUCUGUGUUACUGCUUAUAUGCAUUAUUUAGUGUCUUGUACUGUAAGGAAGAGUUUGUAUAUCAUGGCCUGUCAGAACAGUCCAGCAAUGUCUUUUAUCAACUGGAAAUUCUGAAAGAAUGAAUAAGGUGGUGAUUUAUGUGAGAAUAUAGGGAAAGGGUUACCCAAAGAGUCUAAUGAAUUUAUGUCUAAACCAUGGAGUGGAAUGUGAGGGGCACAUAGAACCCCAGAGUUGUGAUUCUAAUACAUUGCAUGGUGGAAGGAGAAGAAGUUGUUUUUGGUAAGUGUUUCAUGUAACGUAUCUGUGUAAUGUGUGUGUGCCUUCGUUAUUGGGAGAGUGUUCAACAGUUCACAGUGGAAUAGACUGUGAAGCAUUAUGCUGGAAUCUGGGUUCAGAUUCUAGAUCUGUAUCCUACAUAUCACCAGUGUUUGUUUAUCAAUUUUUGCUUGUCAUUACUUUAAGUUUAUUUAACCCAUUAGAGUAUCCAAGGUUGGCAGUGAAGGGACUGCAUUUGGGAGCUAUCUGAAGACAAAAACUCAGCUUUUUGAAGUUUCUUUCAUGUGUCACCUUACAUGGCCCCUCCCAUUCUCUGUGGAGAAGUUUGUGUACAUUAUUCAGACUACUGUGCAGUGACUGUGUUGUUUAAAACCUAUACAUAGCCAAACUCUGUUCUGUGUUCUCUGUAACUAGGGCAUUAGUCUCCCAGUAGUAAUCCUGCAUCUUAUGCUAGUUAAAGAAGGUUCCCAGAAUAAAGACAUUCUUACUUUUGAACAAUGACUUGGAUAGAUUGAGGAAGUGGUUUUAAUAAUCACUUUGAUAUAUUUCAAAAUCUGGUUCAUUAUUGGUGAGGUGCAGGCCACCUGGUAUUAAUGGAAAUGUGUAAUUUGAAACCAGUGCAGUGGAAUCAGAGGCCUGAACAUGACCUAAGUCUUGGUCAAAAGUGGUCGUCUGAAUGUUCCCUGCUCUCUGUAUGUAACUUUGUACUUAGUCUUCAGUGGCAGGAUUGCAGCAGAGGCCCAGUAAAUAUUGUUCAUUCGAUGUAUGAAGAAAACGGAAGUAAGGCCAAAAAUUACUGAUUGUAAACAAAUGAAGCACCAAGUGAAUAAAUGUACAAAUAGACAAAUAGCCAGCAGGAAAAACAACAACAACAACAACUUGUUACCUAAAGAAUGGAAACCAAAUGGAAAAGGCCACCAGGGACCUAAGCUACUGUUACCGUUUUAAUAUGCAUAUUGUUGCUUUCACAUAUAAUACGGUAAGGGAGUAUCAGAAAACCUGAAUCUGCCUGACUAAAACAUACCUUGUUCCACAAAGCUAUAUAUAUGAGAAUAUUUAAGGUGGUUUAAUACCGAAUUCAUAAAUUCAGCCUCAGUGUAGCAAACUUCUAAAGCUUCCAUGAUGUGAGGGAAGUUUUAACAAACAAUGGAAAUCACAGCACUAAAGUACAUUACUAUUAUGUGAUUCUCUGAUGGUAAUAGAAACUGUGCUGCAGGACACGUUUUGAUUUGGGGAGAAAUGUAGAGUAACUCCACAGAGGAAUUCAUCCUCUCUAAUUUUAAAUCUGAAUGGAACCCACAUGCCCAUACCCUGGAGAUGCAUGUAAGCGAACAACAUGGCUUACUCUGUUAAAAAUAGAAAAGAACCUUCAAUUAAUCAUCCUGUGAACUUGAUAAGAGGAUGCAGAGGAACGUAAAUGCCUCUCUGUAUAUCUGUGAUUGACCUUGGAACACAGUGAGUGCCCUCUAAAGAGUAGCCCAAUAAGUACUGUAUCAUUCCACCAAUCAAAUUAGAUCCUCUUGCUUCCAGUGGGAAGAGAGUGACACAGACCAAGGAAAGCCGAGGAGAAGAUUGUAGCCUUUUAUUUCUCCUUGCAUUUGUUGAGGUUCACUGCUCACUGAUAAACGAUUUGCACAAAAAAAUUCAGACCUCUGACUCUUCUGGUAUUUGAUUUAUCUAGUAAAGUUAAUUCCAAGACAAAAGUGUACAGUUGGUUAAAAAUAUCAGUCUCAUGUUUAUUUGAUGGUUUGAAAUAUUCUUUCCUACAUUGUUGUACCUCGUUUGUCACCUUGGAAUAAAUGACAAUCAUGUUGAUUUUUCCACAAGAUAAUUUGAUUCUAAAAUUCAUUUAUCUUCAGGAAUUAGAGAUUCUAAAAAUGUCAUCUCUCGUGUCUCAUUUAGUCAUUUCCAAGAUUUAGUGGGUGUUCUCCCUAAAUGCCUUGAACAAGAAUGCCUUGUUCAAUGGCUGUAUUUUACUCAUAAUUAACAUGCCAACUGCUUUGGGUUUUUUUUAGGUUUACAAAUUUCUUUUCUGCAGUACUUAACUUUCUAUAUUUUUAUAUAUUAAAACAAGUUAGGUAGGAUAAAGAUCACUGUGGAUGGUAUAAAUACUAAUAGCAAAACUAGAAGUAAGAAGUUGUAUUUACAUAAGUUGUACAUAGGUGUUACAUUAGGUUGUCUUACAUGAAAGUAUUAUGAAGUACUAGGAUUUGGGGUGUAUUUUGAAAUCCUUGCCAGUCCUACAUGAUAAAGCAUUGAAUGGUACCAUAUGAGAGGAGAAGAGGACUGAAACAGGACUCCUUAUGAUUUAGACCUCAACAACUACUAGGGAGGGUUGGUUUUUCUUUGAGUGCAUGAUUUUUAAAAAGACUAUUUUGCCAGUUUUAGUUCCAUAUUAAACCCACAGAUUAAGAUUUUGGUUUUGAAAGUGUAAAUAGGAAGCUUGAGUUGGGGGGUAUUUGGAGAUAGAGAUAAUACGUAAUGGCUGUGGGAAAGGAUGAGAUCUAGAGAUAGAGUGUAUGUGGGAGUAGGAACAUAUGUGCCUGAGACCAUGCUUUGGAUGCUCUGGCAUUUAGAUAUUGACAAAAUGAGGAAGACCCAUUAAAGGAGAUUGCGGCUAGAGUUACUAGGUAAAAACCAAAGGGUUGUAGUGUUCCUGAAGAUACAUGAAGAGUGAGAUUAAAAAUUAAUGAGGCGGCAGUGACUUUUGCAUGGCAGUGAAAGACAGUUCAAUUUGAAAAUUGAGUAUCAUUGAUCUUAGUGCUCUUAUUAUUGAAAAGGUCAAAUUAAAGAAUACCUUUGAGUUGAUGGUCUGUACUAUAAUUAGGUUACCAUUGUUAGCCCAGCAUAGACACAUGCUGAUACCUGUGAGUUGCUCUCAUCAAUUACUAUGUGAAGAUGCAUCCCAGUUGUACAAUUUUAGAUCCUCUUCAUUCCACGUUAUAUGUAUACAAGAUAAAACUUGAUGUUUUCAUUAUAUCCUUUCAAUCUUCUAACAGCAAUCCUUAUGUAGCUUUAUCAUUAGAGUUCCCACUUGCAGUGUCUCUUUCUGUACCUGCAUUCAUCGGCCACAGUAGAGUUUUCAUUAAGGCAGGAUUGCAUUUCAUUGAUUUUGGCUUCUGUCACACAUUUAGCAAAGAUUGUUGAAGGAAAGGAAUGGAUGAGGGGCCAGCUGAAAGAAAAAGUAUCAACCUAAUGAUGGAUAAGUGAAAAAGGGAUGAAGAAAGGAUGGUGCUAGGAAUUGAGGGAGUAAAGCAAGAUAGAAUGUACAAAAGGUAGAAUUUUUAAAGAAAGUUGUAGGACAAGGGUAAGGUGUGUUGAACCUACAUUUAAAAUACAAUAACAUCACUAAAGUUGAGGCCGGGUGCAAUGGCUCACCCCUGUAAUCCCAGCACUUUGGGAGGCCAAGGGGGGCGGAUCACCUCAGGUCAGAAGUUUGAGAUCAUCCUGGCCAACAUGGUGAAACCCCAUCUCUACUAAAAAUACAAAAAUUAGCCAGGCAUGGUGGUGGGCGCCUGUCAUCCCAGUUACUCAGGAGGCUGAGGCAGGAGAAUGGUGUGAACCCGGGGCUGGGAGGUUGCAGUGAGCCAAGAUCAUGUCACUGCUCUCCAGCCUGGGCGACAAGAACGAAACUGUGUCUCAAAAAAACAAAACCAAACCAAACAAACAAAAAAAACCAUCAGUAAAGUCAGGGAGAGAGUACCACUGUGGAAGAUGUUCUUUUCCAGCUUAAUCUGAAGAAGGUAUUGACCAUAUGGUCAAUUGUACAGUCAUUGUACAUUGUCAUUCCCUAACUAGAUAUGGGUUAGAUACGAGUCUGUAGAAGAUUGUCCAACAUACUUUCCGCCUCUUAACAUUUCACUUAACGAAUUUCAUUUCAUUUCUUCAUUUUGUGUCUAACAGACUAGAAAUAAUGAGCUCCUAUUGACAGGGAUAUUUUCCUCUUCCUUUACCUUACAGAGCCUUUUAUGUAGCAGAUAUUUAAUGUAAUAAUAGGUCUAAACUAA
This is a non-coding RNA of Macaca mulatta (Rhesus monkey), 12595 nucleotides long. Lineage: Eukaryota; Metazoa; Chordata; Mammalia; Primates; Cercopithecidae. The record is from RefSeq and is a predicted model, not a curated record.